AUGAAUUCUUCCAUCUGGCACAUCUCCUGGUGGAUUAAGUCUUCCCAUUGGGACAGAGUUUUGUGUCCAUUGAUUUUCCCUUGGUGCUGUUCUUGGUGUCUCUUGGCUUUUCCUUGCCACGGGUCUUGGUUGAUGGAUCCUUCCAUGUGGAACAUCUCCUGGUUGAUGGAUCCUUCCAUUUGGGAGGUCUUUUGGUUGGUGAAGUCUUCCAUUUGGAACAUCUCCUGGUUGAUGGAUCCUUCCAUUUGGGAGAUCUCCUGGUUGAGAGAUCCUUCCUUUUGGGACAUCUUGUGGUUGGUGAAGUCUUCCAUGUGGGACAUCUCAUGGCUGAUGGAUUCUUUCAUCUGGGACAUCUCCUGGUUGGUGGAUCCUUCCAUGUGGGACGUCUCAUGGCUGAUGGAUUCUUCCAUGUGGGACAUCUUGUGGUUGAUGGAUUCUUCCAUGUGGGACAUCUUGUGGUUGAUGGAUUCUUCCAUUUGGGAGAUCUCCUGGUUGAGAGAUCCUUCCAUUUGGGACAUCUUGUGGUUGGUGAAGUCUUCCAUGUGGAACAUCUCAUGGUUGAUGGAUACUUUCAUCUGGAACAUCUCCUGGUGGAUUAAGUCUUCCCAUUGGGACACAGUUUUGUAUCCCUUGGCGUUCCCUUGGCACCGUUCCUGGUAUCUCUUGGCGUUCCCUUGGCACAGUUCUUGGUCCAUGAAGUUUUCCGUGUGGCACGUCUCUUGGUCGAAGAGUUCUUCCAUCUGGGACAUCUCCUGGUUGAAGAGUUCUUCCAUUUGGGACAUCUCCUGGUUGAUCAGAUCUUCCCAUUGGGACACACUUUUGUAUCUGAUGGCUUCCCCUUGGCGCCACUCUUGGGAUCCAUUGGUGUCCCCUUGGUGCCACUCUUGGGAUCCAUUGGCGUCCGCUUGGUGCCACUCUUGGGAUCCAUUGGAUUCCCCUUGGUGCCACUCUUGGGAUCCAUUGGAUUCCCCUUGGCGCCACUCUUGGGAUCCUUUGGCCUCCCCUUGGCACCACUCUUGGUUGGUGAAUUCCUGCCAUUGGGACAGAUCCUGGCACCCGUUGCCGUGCCCCUGGCACAGUUCCUGGUCUCCCCAGGCUUUCUUCUGGCGCAGCUGCUGGUCGAUGAAUUCUUCCAUGUGGGACAUCUCCUGGGUGAUGAAGUCCAACCACCAGGACAGAUCUCUGUGCCCACGGGCUGUGCCCUGGCUCAUCCCUUGGGGACACCCUCGGGAUCCCUGUGGAUCUGUGCCGUGUCCCCGCUGGCACAGCUCUGGGGCACAGCAGAAUUCCCGCUGCUCCUGCUCCAUGGCCAACAUCCCCUGUCCCUCCUGGGGCCGCAGCCUCCACAGCCCCUGGGCCGGCGGGAGCUGGGAUUUGGCUUCUCCAGAGGGAUCCGGGAGCUGCUGCUCCUGGGAAUGCACCUGGACCCUUUGGGACCACACUGGGACUGGAGCAUGGCACAGCUCCGGUGUCACAACGGGACAUCCUGGCAACCACGGAGCCUUCUGGAACCUUCUGGAGCUGCAGCCCUGGCUACACAACACCAGGGUGUGCAAAGGGGGUCGUCCCCCCUGGGUGACACUGGAAGGACACUGGUGGCACCCAGAGACACCUGGAGAAGUGGCACCGUCAGAACAUGAAGAGAUUCAUCGAGGGUGGGUGAGAUCCCAGGGUGGAGCACAGGCUGGGAGAGACUCCUUGGGAAGGAGUCGGGGACACGGGGACGGUGACACGGCCCGGGGCAGCACUGUCCCGGCACUGCUCGGUGGCUUCGACCCCGCUCCGGUGCGGGGAACCAGAGCGGCUUCCCAGUGGGAUUCCUGCCGGGAAAAGCCACGGCGCCUUUAA
This 1848-nucleotide long non-coding RNA is filed under the name Junco hyemalis (dark-eyed junco). RNAcentral's name for it is "lncRNA (ENSJHYG00000005341.1)". The record is from RNAcentral. Lineage: Eukaryota; Metazoa; Chordata; Aves; Passeriformes; Passerellidae.